CAGGUUGGGGGCUAUUACUAAUAUUCAAAAUAAUCAAGAAUAAACCAAAUAUAUUUCUACUUCCUGCCACAUGUGCUUCCUCUCCAUUAUCUUCUCUCAACUUUCCUUUGCUUGAAGAAAACUAGCUGAAGAAGCAGCUGCCACUCUGGUGAAAAAGGUCUGAGCAUUUCAUCAAAGCAACUCAGACCUCCAAUUCACCUGUAUCAGCAGUUCAGCUACGAAGCUUUUCUGUAUUAUCCUGAGAGACUACUGUCCGACACAGAAACCUGUCUGG
Molecule: long non-coding RNA, 274 nt
Filed under: Dasypus novemcinctus (nine-banded armadillo)
Lineage: Eukaryota; Metazoa; Chordata; Mammalia; Cingulata; Dasypodidae
Description: lncRNA (ENSDNOG00000052658.1)
Source: RNAcentral